AUUAAACGCUGGCGGCAUGCCUUACACAUGCAAGUCGAACGGCAGCACGGGGGCAACCCUGGUGGCGAGUGGCGAACGGGUGAGUAAAGCAUCGGAACGUGCCCUGGAGUGGGGGAGUAACGUAGCGAAAGUUACGCUAAUACCGCAUAUUCUGUGAGCAGGAAAGCAGGGGAUCGCAAGACCUUGCGCUCUGGGAGCGGCCGAUGUCGGAUUAGCUAGUUGGUGGGGUAAAAGGCCUACCAAGGCGACGAUCCGUAGCGGGUCUGAGAGGAUGAUCCGCCACACUGGGACUGAGACACGGCCCAGACUCCUACGGGAGGCAGCAGUGGGGAAUUUUGGACAAUGGGCGAAAGCCUGAUCCAGCCAUGCCGCGUGAGUGAAG
RNAcentral lists this ribosomal RNA (382 nucleotides) under uncultured bacterium. Its description in RNAcentral is "bacterial SSU rRNA". It matches the Rfam family "Bacterial small subunit ribosomal RNA", at positions 29 to 410 of the family's 1533-position model. The record is from RNAcentral.